RNAcentral lists this ribosomal RNA (495 nucleotides) under uncultured bacterium. RNAcentral describes it as "partial 16S ribosomal RNA". It matches the Rfam family "Bacterial small subunit ribosomal RNA", at positions 28 to 507 of the family's 1533-position model. The record is from RNAcentral.
GACGAACGCUGGCGGCGUGCCUAAUACAUGCAAGUAGAACGCUGAAGGAGGAGCUUGCUUCUCCGGAUGAGUUGCGAACGGGUGAGUAACGCGUAGGUAACCUGCCCGGUAGCGGGGGAUAACUAUUGGAAACGAUAGCUAAUACCGCAUAAGAGUAGAUGUCGCAUGACAUUUGCUUAAAAGGUGCAACUGCACCACUACCAGAUGGACCUGCGUUGUAUUAGCUAGUUGGUGAGGUAACGGCUCACCAAGGCAACGAUACAUAGCCGACCUGAGAGGGUGAUCGGCCACACUGGGACUGAGACACGGCCCAGACUCCUACGGGAGGCAGCAGUAGGGAAUCUUCGGCAAUGGACGGAAGUCUGACCGAGCAACGCCGCGUGAGUGAAGAAGGUUUUCGGAUCGUAAAGCUCUGUUGUAAGAGAAGAACGAGUGUGAGAGUGGAAAGUUCACACUGUGACGGUAUCUUACCAGAAAGGGACGGCUAACUACGUG